RNAcentral lists this small RNA (695 nucleotides) under Histoplasma capsulatum var. duboisii H88. Its description in RNAcentral is "Histoplasma capsulatum H88 hypothetical RNA". Lineage: Eukaryota; Fungi; Ascomycota; Eurotiomycetes; Onygenales; Ajellomycetaceae. The record is from RNAcentral.
GUCAUGAAUAUCGGAAUAGACUAUAAAAACCGUUCACGGAUACUACGGAACGAGGGGAGGCCUUUUUCUCUUCUAUUUUUCUUUUUUUUCCCUCCUUUUUUUGUAUUGUAUGCAUGUUUUUGACGACAUGCAAUGACGAUUCCGGUUUUGGUGUAUGUGUGUGGGUGGUCUUUUCGCUCCGUCGUUCUGGGCUUCUUCCUUCUUGCCUCUUCUUACGACUUAGCUGCACAUUCUGAUGACUCGCAUUCUAACGUAACGAAUUUUUUUUUUUAUCUUUUCUUUUUUAACACAAAUAGGACCCUUCCUUAGUCAAUAACAACGACAUCAACAACAUCAACAACAACAAUGAUAUCCACAUGGCAAAAACCUGCACAAAUCACCUACGGUUGGAUACGGAUAGUCUCCGGUGCCACCCCCGCAUUCGCCAGAACCACUCUCCGCGCCUCUGGGCCAUUCCCGAUAUUUACAGGGAGGAGAGACGAACCUCCUCAGGCGAAGAUCCCAGUGUAAAACCGGGCUUCCUCUCCUUACUUCAACUGCAGCGUCGGACGGGGACCGGGAGAGUCUCUCUCUCUUCCCCUGAGCCAUAAGAUCAUGUUACAGGCAGGCAUCACCAUUCGGUGAUGAUUUUUAUUUUUUAUUUUUUUUUUAAAUUUUAAUUUUUCGUUCUCAUUUGUUGGGACAUGCAAGGAAGG